This 1161-nucleotide unclassified non-coding RNA is filed under the name Hevea brasiliensis (rubber tree). The record is from RNAcentral. Lineage: Eukaryota; Viridiplantae; Streptophyta; Magnoliopsida; Malpighiales; Euphorbiaceae.
AAAAAAAAAAAAAAAAAACACUCUACCACCUCAGAGUUUUUGAGUGUAAGUGUGACAAACAGUCCCCUAAGUUACUUGCAAGGCUAAUAUGAGACAUUGAUUGAAUAAGAAAAUGCAGAAAAUUGGACAUAAUACGGUGCAAGACACACAUAAAGCGUUUGAAGGAAACCUAACUAAAUUCUCCAUCUUUUUUAAUAAUUUAUAUAAGAACAAAUGAUUCAUGCAUUCUAACCAAGUUGAUACAUUCAACAAACAAAACCAAAAUGGUGAAUUGAAGAACCAACUGGAGAUUUCUUAAUUGGCACAUUAGGACAUAUUUUCAGGUGAACAUCAUGAGUUCAACACCACGGGAAAAAUCCCAAAGAACCAAAAUCGCACAAAACACACAUACUAUCGCACCCCCAUUCAGAGAAGAGAGAGUCAUAAAUGAUGCUCCAAAAUACAAAAGACAGGCUACAAAAUAUGGGGUUCAAAAAAGCAUGCAAUAGAUACGUUCUGGCUCUAGACUUAAACAUCAUAUCACCCACGCUAUAGAAUAAACUCACUCCACUGCAAAAAUGUAAAGAGUGGCUGCUUUUAGCAAAUGUAUGUGAUGUCAUAAAAAUAAGGAUAAUAAUACUACAGUAAGGCAUGGAGAAGACUAUAACAGCUAAUCCAAAAUAUUAUAUGUCGAAUCAGGCAGCUACUCAAUCAAGAAAACUUUCAUAAAAAAAGCUGACAAUCUAAUCGUCUUUAUCCUUGAAGUAAAAGGAACUUCAUACACAGAAGAUUCAUGAAUAAGAAAUUUUGCUUAUAAUAAAUGGCAUGCAUUUGCUUCAAUACAAUCCACAGAUCAAUGCGGAACAUCACAAUGAACUCCCAUCACAAUUCUCGUACGCCAUUAAAUUUAAUCAGAACCCUUCUCUUAAAGUAAUUAAGUUCCCUGAUAAUCUAAAAGCUAAUCCUUCUCCCGGGAAUAAAUACAAAUAUUAAUAAACUAAAGCAUUGGCAUUUAACAAAUAAAACAAAACAAUCAAUUAACUAAUCAGUGAAAUAAAACUUUCAUAGAACACACAGUCACAUGCCCCUCCUUUGAUAAGUUGCUUGAACCAAACCCAGGUAUCAAAUCAUCAAAACCUACAGAUCCAUUCUGGCUAGGGGUCUUCGUUUUUCCACCAAAGG